CAGACAGGAGCUAGUAUGAGACCCCAGCCAGGAUCGUGCUUGGGCAUAGUUACUUUUGUAUUACUCUGGUUGUAUUUUUUGGUAACAGUGCACAGGAGACAGAGCGUGUGAAGGAGAACGGAUUACAAACCAAAAACUCAACUCUGCAUUGUUCAGGUUCAGGUGCUCAUGGACUGUUCUGAAUCCCAUCAAGAGGAGGAAGGUUUUGUCCAGCCUUAAAAACAAACCUGAUGCAAGAAACGCAAAUGUUGAUAUUAAAAUCUGAAGAAUUGUUGAGGAGGAUGGGUUGGAUAUGUGUUUCAUAGUGUGGGGUCUAGCAGCAGUAGAGGGGUCAUUACACUGAUUUGCAAGCACCAGCGAUUUAGAUUAAUUAA
Molecule: long non-coding RNA, 374 nt
Organism: Etheostoma cragini (Arkansas darter)
Lineage: Eukaryota; Metazoa; Chordata; Actinopteri; Perciformes; Percidae
Exons: 2
Source: RefSeq, a predicted model, not a curated record